UACGUAGGGACCAAGCGUUGUUCGGAUUUACUGGGCGUAAAGGGCGCGUAGGCGGCGCGGUAAGUCACUUGUGAAAUCUCUGAGCUUAACUCAGAACGGCCAAGUGAUACUGCAGUGCUAGAGUGUGGAAGGGGCAAUCGGAAUUCUUGGUGUAGCGGUGAAAUGCGUAGAUAUCUGGAGGAACACCGGUGGCGAAGGCGGCAUCCUGGACCAAUAUUGACGCUGAGGAGCGAAAGCUAGGGGAGCAAACGGG
This 253-nucleotide ribosomal RNA is filed under the name uncultured bacterium. RNAcentral's name for it is "partial 16S ribosomal RNA". It matches the Rfam family "Bacterial small subunit ribosomal RNA", at positions 524 to 776 of the family's 1533-position model. The record is from RNAcentral.